RNAcentral lists this small RNA (165 nucleotides) under Klebsiella variicola. RNAcentral describes it as "RtT". The stretch from base 33 to 165 matches the Rfam family "RtT RNA". Rfam says of the family: This family represents a bacterial cis-regulatory element known as RtT RNA. The exact function of RtT is unknown although it is thought that it may be involved in changing the cellular response in relation to amino acid starvation. The record is from RNAcentral. Lineage: Bacteria; Pseudomonadati; Pseudomonadota; Gammaproteobacteria; Enterobacterales; Enterobacteriaceae.
CAUGCCCAGCUUAAUCUACCUACGAUAUUCUAUAUUCUGCCCUACGGGGAAGGAUGAGAAGCUUCGACUCAGGUUCGACUCGAGCGCCAGCGAGAGAACGUUGCCGCAGGCAACGGCCCGAAGGGCGAGAAGCGAUAGCGACGAGUUAUCCUUCCCCCUCUAUUC